RNAcentral lists this ribosomal RNA (253 nucleotides) under uncultured bacterium. RNAcentral describes it as "partial 16S ribosomal RNA". It matches the Rfam family "Bacterial small subunit ribosomal RNA", at positions 524 to 776 of the family's 1533-position model. The record is from RNAcentral.
UACAGAGGUCCCAAGCGUUGUUCGGAUUCAUUGGGCGUAAAGGGUUCGUAGGCGGCGCGGUAAGUCGGGUGUGAAAUCUCGGAGCUUAACUCCGAAACUGCAUUCGAUACUGCCGUGCUUGAGGACUGGAGAGGAGACUGGAAUUUACGGUGUAGCGGUGAAAUGCGUAGAUAUCGUAAGGAAGACCAGUGGCGAAGGCGGGUCUCUGGACAGUUCCUGACGCUGAGGCACGAAGGCCAGGGGAGCAAACGGG